UCCCUAGUGGUCCAGUGGCUAAGACUCUGCACUCCCAAUGCAGAGAGGGCCCAGGUUCAAUCCCUGGUCAGGGAA
Bos taurus (domestic cattle) is the source of this 75-nucleotide non-coding RNA. Lineage: Eukaryota; Metazoa; Chordata; Mammalia; Artiodactyla; Bovidae. The record is from Rfam.